RNAcentral lists this ribosomal RNA (503 nucleotides) under uncultured bacterium. RNAcentral describes it as "partial 16S ribosomal RNA". It matches the Rfam family "Bacterial small subunit ribosomal RNA", at positions 29 to 523 of the family's 1533-position model. The record is from RNAcentral.
AUUGAACGCUGGCGGCAUGCCUUACACAUGCAAGUCGAACGGCAGCACGGGAGCUUGCUCCUGGUGGCGAGUGGCGAACGGGUGAGUAAUACAUCGGAACGUACCCAGUAGUGGGGGAUAACGCACCGAAAGGUGCGCUAAUACCGCAUACGACCUACGGGUGAAAGCGGGGGACCGUAAGGCCUCGCGCUAUUGGAGCGGCCGAUGUCUGAUUAGCUAGUUGGCGGGGUAAAAGCCCACCCAGGCGACGAUCAGUAGCCGGUCUGAGAGGACGAUCAGCCACACUGGGACUGAGACACGGCCCAGAGUCCUACGGGAGGCAGCAGUGGGGAAUUUUGGACAAUGGGGGCAACCCUGAUCCAGCAAUGCCGCGUGUGCGAAGAAGGCCUUCGGGUUGUAAAGCACUUUUGUCAGGGAAGAAAUCUUUCAGGCUAAUACCCUUGGAAGGAUGACGGUACCAGAAGAAUAAGCACCGGCUAACUACGUGCCAGCCGCCGCCGUAA